This is a long non-coding RNA of Rattus rattus (black rat), 578 nucleotides long. RefSeq lists it as uncharacterized. NCBI's taxonomy places the organism in Eukaryota, Metazoa, Chordata, Mammalia, Rodentia, Muridae. The transcript is spliced from 3 exons. The record is from RefSeq and is a predicted model, not a curated record.
UAUAUAUAUGAGUAUAUAUAUUCUUUUAUAGGCAACCACACAUUAUAUUACUUAGGGUUUUUUAUAAUCUUGUUAGUUACUAGUCAUAUUUCCUACUAAAACCAAUCUGACAUGUUCAUCUUUUAAAACAACCCAUUUUAAAAGAGCACUCUUAGUCUCGGCUGUUUCACAAAGGCCUUGUAACUGCUCUGGAAGCACUCUGUGGCCAGCUGCAGAGCCUAGCGCUCGCCUUUCAAAGCACCUGCUCACCUAUCUGUUUAGGUUCCAGCAUCCAUGUCAGUAAAGUACCUGAAAAACAAGCAUAAGGACACCAGUUUGAUCCCCCAAGAACCCAGGUCACAAAGCUGGGCAUAGUAGAAGCACUUGGCUUUACCCUUCUGGGGAAACCAAAACAGGAAGCUUCCAGGGGUUCAGUGGCCAGCUACCAUAGCCUGCUAGAUGCAUGCUGGAUCCCAGUGAGGAGCCCUGUCUCAGAACUCAGAGUAGAGGGCUCACAAGGAUCAACAGGAGAGACUGACCUCUGGCCUCUGUGCACACACACACACACACACACACACACACACACACACACACACACA